UUCGCAAUGCCCGAAAGGGUGACAAUGCGACGCCGCGUGUGCGAUGAAGGUCUUCGGAUUGUAAAGCACUGUCAGUCGGGAGGAAAUGUGACUCUAUCGAAGAUGGAGUUGCUUGACAAAGGCCUCAGAGGAAGCUCCGGCUAAAUCCGUGCCAGCAGCCGCGGUAAGACGGAUGGAGCGAGCGUUGUUCGGAAUCACUGGGCAUAAAGCGCGUGUAGGCGGCGGCGCAAGUCAGGUGUGAAAUCCCACGGCCCACCCGUGGAAUUGCAUUUGAUACUGCGUCGCUUGAGUGGAGGAGGGGAGAGUGGAACUGCUGGUGGAGCGGUAAAAUGCGUAGAUAUCAGCAGGAACGCCGGUGGAGAAGUCGACUCUCUGGUCUUCAACUGACGCUGAGUACGCGAAAGCUAGGGGAGCAAACGGGAUUAGAUACCCCGGUAGUCCUAGCCGUAAACGAUGGGCACUAAGUAGAGGGGUUUU
Molecule: ribosomal RNA, 477 nt
Filed under: uncultured anaerobic ammonium-oxidizing bacterium
Lineage: Bacteria
Description: bacterial SSU rRNA
Rfam family: Bacterial small subunit ribosomal RNA
Source: RNAcentral